AAUAGAUACCCUGGUAGUCCACGCCGUAAACGAUGAGUGCUAAGUGUUAGAGGGUUUCCGCCCUUUAGUGCUGAAGUUAACGCAUUAAGCACUCCGCCUGGGGAGUACGGCCGCAAGGCUGAAACUCAAAGGAAUUGACGGGGGCCCGCACAAGCGGUGGAGCAUGUGGUUUAAUUCGAAGCAACGCGAAGAACCUUACCAGGUCUUGACAUCCUCUGACAACCCUAGAGAUAGGGCUUCUCCUUCGGGAGCAGAGUGACAGGUGGUGCAUGGUUGUCGUCAGCUCGUGUCGUGAGAUGUUGGGUUAAGUCCCGCAACGAGCGCAACCCUUGAUCUUAGUUGCCAUCAUUUAGUUGGGCACUCUAAGGUGACUGCCGGUGACAAACCGGAGGAAGGUGGGGAUGACGUCAAAUCAUCAUGCCCCUUAUGACCUGGGCUACACACGUGCUACAAUGGACGGUACAAAGAGCUGCAAGACCGCGAGGUGGAGCUAAUCUCAUAAAACCGUUCUCAGUUCAGAUUGUAGG
Molecule: ribosomal RNA, 527 nt
Filed under: uncultured bacterium
Lineage: Bacteria
Description: bacterial SSU rRNA
Rfam family: Bacterial small subunit ribosomal RNA
Source: RNAcentral